RNAcentral lists this transfer RNA (66 nucleotides) under Ruminococcus gauvreauii. It matches the Rfam family "tRNA", at positions 5 to 66 of the family's 71-position model. From Rfam's summary of the family: Transfer RNA (tRNA) molecules are approximately 80 nucleotides in length. Their secondary structure includes four short double-helical elements and three loops (D, anti-codon, and T loops). Lineage: Bacteria; Bacillati; Bacillota; Clostridia; Eubacteriales; Oscillospiraceae. The record is from RNAcentral.
GCAGUAGCUCAGUAGGUAGAGCGCAACAUUGGUAGUGUUGAGGUCACGGGUUCGAUUCCCGUCUGU